RNAcentral lists this ribosomal RNA (255 nucleotides) under uncultured bacterium. Its description in RNAcentral is "partial 16S ribosomal RNA". It matches the Rfam family "Bacterial small subunit ribosomal RNA", at positions 524 to 776 of the family's 1533-position model. The record is from RNAcentral.
UACGGGGGGAGCAAGCGUUGUUCGGAUUUACUGGGCGUAAAGGGCGGGUAGGCGGCCACCGCAAGUCGACUGUGAAAUCUCCGGGCUUAACCCGGAAAGGUCAGCCGAUACUGCGGGGCUAGAGUGCAGGAAGGGGCAACUGGAAUUCUCGGUGUAGCGGUGAAAUGCGUUGAUAUCAUCAGGAAUACCGGAGGCGAAGGCGGCUCACUGGGGGUUUUCUGACGCUGAGGAACGAAAGCCAGGGGAGCGAACGGG